Molecule: ribosomal RNA, 418 nt
Filed under: uncultured bacterium
Lineage: Bacteria
Description: bacterial SSU rRNA
Rfam family: Bacterial small subunit ribosomal RNA
Source: RNAcentral
UGGGGAAUUUUGGACAAUGGGCGCAAGCCUGAUCCAGCCAUGCCGCGUGCAGGAUGAAGGCCUUCGGGUUGUAAACUGCUUUUGUACGGAACGAAAAGGUGCCUUCUAAUAAAGGGCGCUCAUGACGGUACCGUAAGAAUAAGCACCGGCUAACUACGUGCCAGCAGCCGCGGUAAUACGUAGGGUGCGAGCGUUAAUCGGAAUUACUGGGCGUAAAGCGUGCGCAGGCGGUUUUGUAAGACAGAGGUGAAAUCCCCGGGCUCAACCUGGGAACGGCCUUUGUGACUGCAAGGCUGGAGUGCGGCAGAGGGGGAUGGAAUUCCGCGUGUUGCGGUGAAAUGCGUAGAUAUGCGGAGGAACACCGAUGGCGAAGGCAAUCCCCUGGGCCUGCACUGACUCUCAUGCACGAAAGCGUGGG